GACGAACGCUGGCGGCGUGCCUAAUACAUGCAAGUCGAGCGCAGGAAACUGAUGGAACUCUUCGGAGGGAAGGCAGUGGAAUGAGCGGCGGACGGGUGAGUAACACGUAAGGAACCUGCCUCAAGGAUUGGGAUAACUCCGAGAAAUCGGAGCUAAUACCGGAUAGUUCAUCGGACCGCAUGGUCCGUUGAUGAAAGGCUCUUCGGCGUCACCUUGAGAUGGCCUUGCGGUGCAUUAGCUAGUUGGUGGGGUAACGGCCCACCAAGGCGACGAUGCAUAGCCGACCUGAGAGGGUGAUCGGCCACACUGGGACUGAGACACGGCCCAGACUCCUACGGGAGGCAGCAGUAGGGAAUCUUCCACAAUGGACGAAAGUCUGAUGGAGCAACGCCGCGUGAGUGAUGAAGGUUUUCGGAUCGUAAAACUCUGUUGUAAGGGAAGAACACGUACGAGAGGUAAUGCUCGUACCUUGACGGUACCUUACGAGAAAGCCACGGCUAACUACGUGCCAGCAGCCGCAGUAA
Molecule: ribosomal RNA, 524 nt
Filed under: uncultured bacterium
Lineage: Bacteria
Description: partial 16S ribosomal RNA
Rfam family: Bacterial small subunit ribosomal RNA
Source: RNAcentral